This 330-nucleotide ribosomal RNA is filed under the name uncultured Pseudomonadota bacterium. RNAcentral describes it as "bacterial SSU rRNA". It matches the Rfam family "Bacterial small subunit ribosomal RNA", at positions 568 to 898 of the family's 1533-position model. The record is from RNAcentral. Lineage: Bacteria; Pseudomonadati; Pseudomonadota.
CGCGUAGGCGGUGAUCUUUGUCAGAGGUGAAAUCCCGAGGCUCAACUUCGGAAUUGCCUUUGAAACGGGAUCGCUUGAGUCCGAGAGAGGAUGGCGGAAUUCCUAGUGUAGAGGUGAAAUUCGUAGAUAUUAGGAAGAACACCGGUGGCGAAGGCGGCCAUCUGGCUCGGUACUGACGCUCAGGCGCGAAAGCGUGGGGAGCAAACAGGAUUAGAUACCCUGGUAGUCCACGCCGUAAACUAUGAAUGCUAGUUGUUGGGGGGUUUACCUCUCAGUGACGCAGCUAACGCGUUAAGCAUUCCGCCUGGGGAGUACGGUCGCAAGAUUAAA